AACAAAUGUCCCUUUCCCUCCCUGGAGUUUUAGACUCUCUAUGCUUCUUGUUGACCCAAACUUGCAACCACUGAACCGCCACAGGCCUGAUUCAAUGUUAGCAAAAAUUUUAACAUGAUAGAGGAGGUAGGGGAGGUGGGGCUGGGUUACCCUUGUGCUUAAAAAGUCCUUAUUUAAUUCCAUACUAACUAAACAAUAUGGGAUUGCUUGACGUAAGGACUAGAAGUUGACAAUAAAUAUCCAGUGCAAAAGAAUGUUUGAGAAUCAGUAUGCAGGAAAAUUUUUUUCUUAUAUCAAGAGGAAGAAAACAUAUAUAUUUCAUUUUAGCAUUUAAACUGACUAGAUGUAGACCAG
This 354-nucleotide unclassified non-coding RNA is filed under the name Hevea brasiliensis (rubber tree). The record is from RNAcentral. Lineage: Eukaryota; Viridiplantae; Streptophyta; Magnoliopsida; Malpighiales; Euphorbiaceae.